GGUGCCUUAGCUCAGUUGGUAGAGCANNAAUGGACUGAAAAUCCAUGUGUCCGCAGUUCAAAUCUGCGAGGCACCA
Molecule: transfer RNA, 76 nt
Filed under: Saprospirales bacterium
Lineage: Bacteria; Pseudomonadati; Bacteroidota; Saprospiria; Saprospirales
Description: tRNA-Phe
Rfam family: tRNA
About the family: Transfer RNA (tRNA) molecules are approximately 80 nucleotides in length. Their secondary structure includes four short double-helical elements and three loops (D, anti-codon, and T loops).
Source: RNAcentral